GGGUAGCUGGCCAGGCUCUGCUGAGCGAGAAGUCCCCUUCUCCCUCACCACUUCCGAUGUGCGUCCCUCCUUAAGGCUGUGCUCGGUUGAAGAGGACAGCCUUUCCCCGAAUAGAGACAGACAGGUCUUAGGUUGAGGGUAUACGAGUAGCUACGCUCCCCUGCUAGAACCUCCAAACAAGUAUAUAUCUAACAGGAAGAAAUAUAUAACAGGGGCUAAGCACUUGCUUUGCAUAGGGUCAACCCCAGUUUGAUCCCUUGCGC
Molecule: small nuclear RNA, 263 nt
Filed under: Sorex araneus (European shrew)
Lineage: Eukaryota; Metazoa; Chordata; Mammalia; Eulipotyphla; Soricidae
Description: 7SK RNA (ENSSARG00000018750.1)
Rfam family: 7SK RNA
About the family: 7SK was discovered as an abundant small nuclear RNA in the mid-70s but a possible function has only recently been suggested.
Source: RNAcentral